AACGCGAAGAACCUUACCUGGAGUGGACAUACACCUAGUAGCGAGGGGAAACCUGAGCGACCGCAAGGAGGGUGAGCAGGUGCUGCAUGGCUGUCGUCAGCUCGUGCCGUGAGGUGUUAGGUUAAGUCCUGUAACGAGCGCAACCCUCAGGGUCAGUUACACGUAGUCUGGCCCGACUGCCCGUGACAAACGGGAGGAAGGCGGGGAUGACGUCAAGUCAGCAUGGCCUUUAUCUCCAGGGCUACACACACGCUACAAUGGCCGGUACAAUGGGUCGCCAAGCCGCAAGGCGGAGCCAAUCCAGCGAAAGCCGGUCUCAGUUCGGAUUGUGGGCUGCAACUCGCCCACAUGAAGUUGGAGUUGCUAGUAACCGCCGGUCAGCUAUACGGCGGUGAAUACGUUCCCGGGCCUUGUACACACCGGUAUCUC
This 429-nucleotide ribosomal RNA is filed under the name uncultured bacterium. Its description in RNAcentral is "bacterial SSU rRNA". It matches the Rfam family "Bacterial small subunit ribosomal RNA", at positions 958 to 1400 of the family's 1533-position model. The record is from RNAcentral.